CAAGGCUCUUGCCUGUUAUUGCAGCAAUCAAUUUUGGCUAUCUAUUGACAGUGAAACAGGCAUGAUAUUUUUCCGAUUUAAAUCGGAAUUCCGAUUUUUUUGUUUUUUCUAGAAAUGAAUUAAUUUUUUACCUCGACUAAACCCCUCGAUUCGACUAAACCUCGCCUCAACGAAACCACAUACCUCACUACGAAACCUCACCUCGACUAAACUUCACCUCACACUUAAACCUCAACUCAUUAAACCUCGCCUCGACUAAACCUCCCACCUCACAACUAAGCUCCACCUUGCACCUAAUCCCCGCCUCGACUAAUCGCCGCCUCUCUCCCGCUCCCGCAGGAAGGGGCUGCGGGCGGAGCGGGGCUCGGGCUCGAUGUCAACUUCAGAAAGAGUGUGCCCCACCCUUCCCACCGGCUCUCCCGGGCAGUGUGCCUGUGCCGCUCUCCGUGCCCGGUCCCGCCCCCUUGGUUGGAGCCGCUCCGCUCAUGUGAGGCGCCACUAACGGCCGGGGGGCAAUAAAUAGCGGGAGCGGGUGAGAGGCAGCGAUUAGUCGAGGUGCGGAUUAGGUGUGAGGCAGAGUUUAGUCGUGGGAGGUUUAGUUUUGAGGUGAGGUGGGGUUAAGGUGUGAGGUGAAGUUUAGUGAGGUUUAUUUGAGGGGCAAGGUUUAGUGAGGUACGGUUUAGUCGAGGUUUAGGUGUGAGAAGAAGUUUGGUAGGGAGGUAUCGUCGAGGCGAGGGGUUUAGUGAGGCAAGGGGAUUAGUCGAGGUGUAGGUGAGGAGAAGUGAAUGUAGGUGAGUUGAGGAGAAGUGGGUGGCUGAGCUCAGGAAGGGAGACUGAGGUGUUGCUGAAGGAGACGAGACCACUACCUUCAGUGGCAGAGCAUUCCGCAAAUUCACAACUCACUGGGUGAAAAAGAUUUUUUCUCAUCUUAGUGCGAGGCAAAGAGACAUUUCAGUAGCUCAUCAGAGGAAUGAUGGCAUCGAUAUAAUGGUCAGUGUCUAUAGUCUAAAAGAAGCUGAAGUCUAGCAGUCUCUGAGAUGCCCAGGAGUGGGAGAUGAACCCUACAGUAUGAAUGGUUUUACAGAAUUUCAGUGAUGUCCACUCAUAAGAACAUGAUGACUAUAUUUAUUUUAAAUGUACAACUAUUAUAGAUUCUGAUCAAAAUUAUAAUAUUUGACCUAAACAUGAAUUUGGUGCUUGUGCAUUCUGUAGCAGAAACAACAUAAAUUAAACGUUGUAUUACGUUCUUUCAACAAAUAAUGUGACAAUCCCUACAUGGAUGACAAGUUUUAGAGUAUGAUUUCAGUGAUAUGAAGAACUUAGCGUUUAAACUAUUUCAGUGUUCAACAUAACUAAGUUAGUUUUGCACUUUGAUCAUACCAAAGCAUUUUAAAAGUGCUGGGACAAAUCACAAUCAUUUACUAUCAACUGCAAAUCUGUGAAAACUAUCCUAGCUUUCAGCAUGAUGGCUCUGAGCAUUAUAGAAUGAUAGCAUUAGCAAGGUUUAACCAAUGAAUUGAAAAUCUUACCAGAUUCUAUUGCAAUAUACAUUCUGACUAUUGUUUCCUGCCUGCAAGCCCCCACCAAACACUCGCUGAUUUUUUAUUCUUCCUCUUUCAUUUAAAAAAUAUGGGCAAAGUAGAAAGGGAGAAACUGUUCCCAGUGAUGGAGAUUUUCAAGAACUGGGAUAUAUAGAAUGAAGGCAAAUAGCUAAUGAUCCCCAGGUAAGGUGAGGAACAGUAUCUUCAUCCCAUGGUAGGCGUGUUAAAAACAAGGUUUAAGGUAAAAGGAAGGAUUUUUAAAGGGUAUUUUGGUGGAAAUUUUUACAUAGGCAAUGGUUGAUAAGUGGAACUCCUUGCCACAGUGGAACUCCAGGGCAUAGAAUUGGAUGCAAUCACUACACUUAAGAGACAUUUAGAUUUACACUUGACCAGGGAAAGCAUGAAAGGACAGGAAACUAAUAGAAGAACAAAUAAGAUUAGUAUAGAUGGACAAAAAGAUUUGAAUGGAUGUGAUGGGUCAGUGGGCUGGUUUCUGAACUGUACAUCCAUGAGUGGUUUGGAAUGCGAAUAAUACGUAUGUAUCUAGAAGAACAAAAUGGGAUGGUGUGGAUGAGUGAUACUAAUUGGAUUGCUGUUACACAGAAUCCAUAAUGACUUGUUGGCAAUUGGUUUCCUUCCAUGCUGUAACAAAUCUGUGAUUUAGUUUAGUUUAUUAUUGUUAUGUGUUCCGAGGCACAGUGAAAAGCUUUUGUUGUGUGCUAUCCAGUCAUUGAAUUGACUGUUGUUUAGAAGUAUUGUUUCUGACUUUGGAGAGUUGUUGGAUUGCAUAUUUUAAUGAGAUUACAAUGUUGAUUUAUUUCCAUUGUUCAGAGCCACCAUUUUGAAAAUUCAGAUUCUACAAAUUCAACAGCUUUGUAAUCUGGAGUAAAGAGAUUUUGAUUGGUUAAAGUGUGCAAAGAAUGGUUUGAACACAAAUACUUAUAGCACAAGUACUUUGUUUUAAUCAUAAUUCACAAAGCAAUUGGCCCAUUCUUAGUCACGUUUGUGACCAAAAAGAUGAAACAUUGUGGAAUACAUCUCUUCUAAUUCUGAAAGCAUUACAGGUAUAUUGUUUUGUACUGUAUAUAUGGUUCAUAUUUUUUUUCGGUUUAUCAAGUGAAUUUUUAAUGUUAUGCUGACAAUGUUUGUUUAGAGUCAGCGGUAAAAUAUGAAUGGUCACGUGUGUGACACCACACGGAAGCAUUAUACAAACUCUGAAGUUUAAAAAGCUAGAAUGUUCAUAGACAUGCAUUAUAGUUCUGUAGGUGGGAAAAUAGCAAUGAAUAAGAUUAAUGUCACAAGAGUUAUUUUUUAAUGUAUCACUUUGUGAUGACAUCUGGUCACGUGUGUGACAUGUUGGUUCGCUUUCCAAAGAAUGGGCCAAUUGCUAUUGCUUAAUGUUUGGAAAACCAUCUUACAAAGGGUAGGAAGAACAGGAAAAUGAAAGCACAAUGGCUGAAAAACAGAGUAAAGUAAAGUAGAAUACAGCAUAUGAUAAAUUCCAGAUGUUAAUGUAAGCAAGGAUUGGAUUGAUUACACAAAGUACAGAGACAAUGUUAAAAAAAUGGAAAUAAAAAAAUUCAAAGUGAGAGUACUAAAGUAGCAGCAAGUGGAUAAGGACAUUCUACAAUAUUCUAUAGAUAUUUGAAAGGAAAAGGGUUGUAAGAGGAGAGAUGGGUUAGAUCAGAGAAAAAAAAAAUUGCAAAAGGAGACAGAGUCAAUGAGUGUUUGAAGUACUAACGUAUUUUAUAUCAGUUUUCAUUGUAGAAGAUAAUGCUGUUCGAGUAUCAGUAAAGAAGAUGUAAUUAAGAUUCUGAAUAGACAAACUGCAGUUGGUGGAUAUAUCACCUGGGAAGCAUCUGAGAGAAAUAAGGGAAGAAAUUAUAGAGAUCCUGGUAAUAAUUUCCCAAACAUUGAUACAUUCAGAGUGCGUGAUGAUUUAAAAUUGUAAACAUUACCCACUCCCUUGUUUAAAAAAAUAUAUAAAGAGAUAACAAAUAAUUACAGACCAGUUCCAGAAACAAUAAUCAGAGAUUGACUAGGCAGUCUUUUGGACAAGUGGAUUGGUUCCAGAAAAUAAGCAUGGAUUAAAAAAAAAAAAAGCUAAUUGUAUCUAGUAUUUUGAUUGUCUUUUAAUGAAGUAACUGAAAGGGUUGAUGAGGAAAAUCGGAUUGAUGUAUAUAUGGACAUCCAAAAGGUUCCACUUAGUUCCAUUUAGUGGACGUCACCAAAAAUGAAGGUCAUAGGGGGGGGGGGGGGGGGUUAGAGGGUCUGUUUGGAUUUUGAUAGAAAGAAUGUACAGAGGCAAUAUAGAAGAGACAACUCCAAGAGGAAACAAGAUCAGUAAUCUUGGGUUGAUAAAUAGAGACAUAAAGUAAAGGUGAAGGAUGUCAUGAUGAAUAUUGAUAAGAGUUUUGGUUUUGCCACAUUGUGAAUUUUGUUUAAUUCUGGAUUGCACACUUGAGAGAAAGAUUUUGGAGAGAGUGCCAGAAAUUUACAAAAAGUGAUCCCAGGAUGUCCAUGGACUGGAGAAUCUGGAAUUGUUCUCCCUUAGAGGUAGCGGUUAGAUCCUUAGAUCUUAGACUUUAGAGUUAGAUCCCUUAGAUCUAACACAAAUAGUUAAAAUCAUUAAGGAUGUGGACAGAGUAGAUAGUAAGUUUUCCUGUUAAUAGUGCGAUUGAGAACUUGAAAAUAUAGAACAACGUUGAUUGGAGAAAGAACCAAAAGUGACACAAGGGAAAAUUAUUUUAUUCAACAAGUUGUAAAUGGGUGGAAUGCGUUACCACAGAUGGUAGUGAAGGCAGAUUCAAUUGUAACAUUCAAAAUAGAGCUGGGUAAAUAUCUAAAAGGAAAUAUCUAAAAUUGUGUACCACAGGAAGAUGAAGAGGGAGAGGAUAGCUUUAACAUAAAGCCACAUAAACUUGGCGAACUGAAUAGUUGUUAUAAUUCCAUAGUUCUAAGCAAGACGUGGUUAGUUGCAGUUGUGUUUUACUUUUCUGUUACCUUCAUUUGUUUGAAGAUGUUCUCUUGGAUUUCAUCUGAUUAAGCACCUUUUGGGUAAACUGUUUUACAUUGUCAGAAGUCAUCUACAAGACUAUAGGUUAAAGUAAUUUUGAAGUGUCCUUAUACAUUUAUCAAUCGGCUUUAAGUUGAAUCACUCGUUCUGAAAGACAUCAUCACAUGCAGAAUUAUCCCUAAACAACAUCAAAAUUGCUAUGGGCAAUAAGAAGUAUGAAAUACCACAAGCAUUUUCGCUUUGAUAAUAGCCAUGUAGCUACAUCUGAAGAUGUGCCCAUUGGUGAAAUGUAAAACUUGGUUCUCUUCACUUGUUUGUUGUCAAUCACACAAAAGUAGUGAAAGGUAUUGAAUGUGAAUUAGAUGGAUGUUUGCUGGUGUUGGUUAUGUUGUUCAGCGAUAUCAGAGACAGAUGUCUCUAACUGAAUAAACUUAACUGGAUACUGUUCUUUGCAUUUCUUCCAUUUUAAGUUAUUUUAUUUCUGAAUCACAAGCCAUUUUCCCACCUUUUGGACAGUUUCAUUCAUUUAAAAUUAUGUGAAAUGCUUCUGACUAUGUACUUCUCAUAACCUCUAAUCUGUGUUAGCAGUAUGUUAUUAUUGAACCUGGAAUGCUCUGCAUUAGUUGGUAAUACAUUUGGUGUUUUUCAUCCAUUACAAGGAUCAGUUGGGAGAUAUUUGUAAUGACAAAUUUUAACUUGUAUAUUUCUCUGAAUUUUGGUUAAAACAUAACUGAAACUAUUUUAUGAAAAUCUCAGUUUUAGAGGGGUUUGUCAUUUGCAUCUGCACGUGUUUUUGCAUAUAUUAAAGAUAAAUCAAUAAAGAUUAUAAUUAUC
Molecule: long non-coding RNA, 5391 nt
Organism: Amblyraja radiata (thorny skate)
Lineage: Eukaryota; Metazoa; Chordata; Chondrichthyes; Rajiformes; Rajidae
Exons: 3
Source: RefSeq, a predicted model, not a curated record